This 465-nucleotide ribosomal RNA is filed under the name uncultured bacterium. RNAcentral describes it as "bacterial SSU rRNA". It matches the Rfam family "Bacterial small subunit ribosomal RNA", at positions 338 to 795 of the family's 1533-position model. The record is from RNAcentral.
CCUACGGGGGGCAGCAGUGGGGAAUAUUGGACAAUGGGGGAAACCCUGAUCCAGCCAUGCCGCGUGUGUGAAGAAGGCCUUAGGGUUGUAAAGCACUUUAAGCGAGGAGGAAGGGCUCUAGGUUAAUACCUUGGAGCAUUGACGUUACUCGCAGAAUAAGCACCGGCUAACUCUGUGCCAGCAGCCGCGGUAAUACAGAGGGUGCGAGCGUUAAUCGGAAUUACUGGGCGUAAAGCGCGCGUAGGCGGUUGUGUAAGUUGGAGGUGAAAUCCCCGGGCUUAACCUGGGCACUGCCUUCAAAACUGCACGGCUAGAGUAUGGGAGAGGAAGGUAGAAUUCCAGGUGUAGCGGUGAAAUGCGUAGAGAUCUGGAGGAAUACCGAUGGCGAAGGCAGCCUUCUGGCCUAAUACUGACGCUGAGGUGCGAAAGCAUGGGGAGCAAACAGGAUUAGAUACCCCAGUAGUC